This 2590-nucleotide long non-coding RNA is filed under the name Ficedula albicollis (Collared flycatcher). RNAcentral describes it as "lncRNA (ENSFALG00000027792.1)". The record is from RNAcentral. Lineage: Eukaryota; Metazoa; Chordata; Aves; Passeriformes; Muscicapidae.
GUGACUAGUUUCUCAAUAAUCAUGUGACCUACUUAAGCUUUUUUUUCCCCUGACACCGAAGAAGAGCAAAAUUAGUGAAAACUUGGAUGAAACCACUCUGUUGUCACAACUUCAUAAUGACCUUACUAACAAACUGGAUAUCAGCCCCAACAGCAUUUCUUCUCUUACAUUUUUGGAGAGCAAAGGUACAUGCUUCUGGAAACCCAGAGGAUGAAAUAGAUUACACAUAUGUUAUUAUAGGAGUUACUCUGGGAGCAGUUCUAGCAAUUGGUUUUGUAGCAGUAAUAAUCUGCAUGAUCAAAGCCCAAAUGAUUGACAGUGUCUUUGGAGAUUCAGAUGGCAAAAUGGAUAGAAGGUCAAACACGGGAUCAAGCCAAAACAGAUGACAGCAAUGCAGUAAGAAACCAAAGUGCAAGAGAUCAAUAACUCCUUUGCAAUCAACAGUUACCUGGUCUGAGGAUCAAUAGAAGUCUCUUGUGCACUGGCAGGAAUCUUACAAAUAUCAAUGCUUUUCUUUGUUCUUUAGUUGAAAGGCUGAUUGAUUGUUUACAGGAAGAGCUUAUAGUGCAGCUAACUUCAAUCACCUACACCCAAAAGGCCUGCAAUCCCCCUCAGCAUCUAUGUGAAGGAAAUGUAUGAGGAGAAUAAUAGAUAAAAUAGAUGAGCUCUGUUCACAAAUAGAUCCUCUUUAUUCUGUGAUAAGUAUAUGACUGUUUUCUAAAGUUAGUUAAAUCCCAGGUAAUCAGAAAGGUGGCAAUAUAAUUCAGCAGCAGAAUUCAUGGUCACACCAAUAUUUCAAGAUAAGUAAAUAAUGUUUUCAGCAACUUGGAAAAUCAUUCAUUUGGGGUCAAAACUAAACAAGGCUUCUUAUUUAUUUCAAGAAAUACAUGCUUUGUGUUACUGAUAAAACAUUUCAUUAACUUAAAGUUUUAUCAUUUUAGAUCUAGAACUGAUGUCUUCUGUAGGUGGUAGUGAUAAUUUCAACCAUUUAAAAUUAAUGAUGGCCAUUUAAAAUUAAAAAUUCCUUUUUUAAAUAAUGUUUUUCAUGUUCUGUUGACACUUCAUAUCAACACUGUACAAAUGAGCUAAUCUGUUAUUUCCAGAAUUUCCCUAUCCCUAUUUUUUUUAGUAUAAAGCAAUGCACUAAGUUCAAUCAGAAUUUGUGAAUGAUUUCAGUUUCCCAGCACCUUCAUUCUUGUUCUAGCCUUAUAUAUUCUGGUGGACUUGAUUACAUCAAAAUUGCUUUGCCUGGCUCCAAUUACAAGCUUCUUACGGUGGGAGUGAUGAGAAGAAAAAAUACAGUUUUGUUUCAGAACAUUUAGAGUAGUUUAAAUAAUUUAAAAUAAUUUAAGCCAAACUUUUACCAAAGCUUUGAGUUGGUGGCUUUGGUCUCAGUUCAGAAAAUAAUGCUAUAGAUGCUCUUCUGUUUAAUCCUCUUCUUUCAAGAAUGCUGUAUAUAAAAUAUUGUCAUCACAAGGCAUAAGAAAACAUGAAGAUUUUUUAUUUCAAGCCAGACUUUUUUGUUCACCUUGUGAAGAGAGGGCAGCCAAUGCCAGCUGUGGGAGCUUUGGGAACUUUUGGCCAGCAUCCUUUGCUAUUCCUACAGCUUCUCUCAGGAAACCCAGCAGAACUUUUAGACUUGGGGGCCUCAGGUAGAUGGCAUGCCCUACUGAAUUAAGUAAUAUCCCAAUAUUUCACAGGCAGAGCUUUAUGUUUUAGCAUUACAGGAUGACUCCAAACAGGAUGUUACACUGUUUUAUUGUAACUUACCAUUGUCCAGAUCCAAAGACCACAAACUGUAAAUAAGUAGGAUAUUCAUAACCUUUUAGCUUAAGCCAAAUGUCUACAGACAUAUGGGUUUUUUAAAUCUCUCACCUUACAUACAUUCCUAAAGUUCACUUUUAUACCUGCUUCUGCUCUCAGUGUGGCAGAUCAUAAUAAAGUAAGUUCUUCCCAGCUCUCCACUAAUAUAAGAGAUUUAAUCCAACUUUUUAAAAAAAAGCAAUUGUAAGACUGAAGUCCAACCUAGAAAUUCUGAGUGUUAUUAAGAAAUAUCACUCAGAAAAAUCAUGGAGACCAGGGCUUCCUAUCCACUAAUCAACUUUCAGAUCAGGCAGAGCUGAUGUGCUGGGUCAGGGACUUUGAGGAAACAUGCUGUUAGAGCAUUAGAGAAGAUAUAUCAGAAUUUUGUUUUUAUAAAGAAUAAGCUACUGUUAUACUUGUAACUGUAACUAAAGGGAUUUCAAUAUGGGUGUUUUUUGACUUUCACAAAGCAUGUCAUUUGUCAAAUGUGCAAAGGAAACUGGAUAGUAAUUUUUCCAUAAAUAUUGAACAACAAAGUGUAAAAUUUAUUUUGACAGAAGAAUGGUAUAUUGGAAUACUUUCCCUGGUUUCCUAGGUGUCUGUUACCCAUGUCAGUAACACUGCAGUUCAUUAGCAGCAUUUGCUAACAGAUAAACUAAAGGAGUAAUGUGAUACUUGUAAGUAAUUGUGUGUACAUGAGUAAGUGAAUAAAGCAUCUUGUAAGGUAUCUGUUAAUUGAUUUGCUUCCUGUAGUAUCAUUUUAAUUAAGACUUGGAACAGAAGAGAG